UGGAGGAAGGAACAUGAUGAGUUAAGGAUAAAUCAUACAAUUGGCAUGCAUUCCUCCCUGGACAUUUGCUUGUGGAUCCCAGCUGCCACGCUGUGAGGAAGCCCAAGCACCAGCACCCUGAAGAGAGCUGAGGCCCCUCAGCCCUGCCUGGGCUCCCAGAGGAUGUUUAUAGGGAUCAAAGCUUACCUGGCAGCUGGGGAAGCAUUGUCUGCUACCAGUGACCUCUCAGCUUCUCCUGUUGGGCCUCUGGUCCAAAGGCCACCCCAAGAGCUGUGAGCACCAGGGGCCUGAGGAUGGUGGGAAGCAAGGCCUCGCUCACUGAGCUCAGAUGUCAGUGUGUUUGGAAGGAGGGACUGACCCCAGUUCCUCAUGCUUGAUCGCCGGCCACGCUGCUCUGAAUUUGAGAGCGAAACCCUUUGGGAGUGUUGCCAAGGGGCUGGACUCAGUCCCCGUGAACUGCAUGUCCUGGUCUCGAUGCCACCAUUGAUUACAAGUCUGCACCCAUGGAGUUGACUGGCCCAGGCAUUCAUCAAACGCACAUAAUUAGGCUUCCUG
Long non-coding RNA from Zalophus californianus (California sea lion), 555 nucleotides. RefSeq lists it as uncharacterized. NCBI's taxonomy places the organism in Eukaryota, Metazoa, Chordata, Mammalia, Carnivora, Otariidae. The transcript is spliced from 3 exons. The record is from RefSeq and is a predicted model, not a curated record.